Molecule: ribosomal RNA, 301 nt
Filed under: uncultured bacterium
Lineage: Bacteria
Description: partial 16S ribosomal RNA
Rfam family: Bacterial small subunit ribosomal RNA
Source: RNAcentral
CAGUAGCCGCGGGAAUACGGAGGGUGCUAGCGUUGUUCGGAAUUACAGGGCGUAAAGCGCACGUAGGCGGCUUUGUAAGUUAGAGGUGAAAGCCUGGAGCUCAACCCCAGAAUUGCCAUUAAGACUGCAUCGCUUGAAUCGCGGAGAGGUGAGUGGAAUUCCGAGUGUAGAGGUGAAAUUCGUAGAUAUUCGGAAGAACACCAGUGGCGAAGGCGGCUCACUGGACGCAUAUUGACGCUGAGGUGCGAAAGCGUGGGGAGCAAACAGGAUUAGAUACCCCUGUAGUCCCUGUCUCUUAUAC